GAUGAACGCUGGCGGCGUGCCUAAUACAUGCAAGUCGAGCGAACAGACGAGGAGCUUGCUCCUCUGACGUUAGCGGCGGACGGGUGAGUAACACGUGGAUAACCUACCUAUAAGACUGGGAUAACUUCGGGAAACCGGAGCUAAUACCGGAUAAUAUAUUGAACCGCAUGGUUCAAUAGUGAAAGACGGUUUUGCUUUCACUUAUAGACUGAUCCGCGCUGCAUUAGCUAGUUGGUAAGGUAACGGCUUACCAAGGCGACGAUGCGUAGACGACCUGAGAGGGUGAUCGGCCACACUGGAACUGAGACACGGUCCCGACUCCUACGGGAGGCAGCAGUAGGGAAUCUUCCGCAAUGGGCGAAAGCCUGACGGAGCAACGCCGCGUGAGUGAUGAAGGUCUUAGGAUCGUAAAACUCUGUUAUUAGGGAAGAACAAAUGUGUAAGUAACUAUGCACGUCUUGACGGUACCUAAUCAGAAAGCCACGGCUAACUACGUG
RNAcentral lists this ribosomal RNA (497 nucleotides) under uncultured bacterium. RNAcentral's name for it is "partial 16S ribosomal RNA". It matches the Rfam family "Bacterial small subunit ribosomal RNA", at positions 28 to 507 of the family's 1533-position model. The record is from RNAcentral.